Molecule: ribosomal RNA, 900 nt
Filed under: Lactobacillus sp. CD6
Lineage: Bacteria; Bacillati; Bacillota; Bacilli; Lactobacillales; Lactobacillaceae
Description: bacterial SSU rRNA
Rfam family: Bacterial small subunit ribosomal RNA
Source: RNAcentral
AUCUAAUACAUGGCGAGUCGAGUCGAGCAGAACCAGCAGAUUUACUUCGGUAAUGACGCUGGGGACGCGAGCGGCGGAUGGGUGAGUAACACGUGGGGAACCUGCCCCAUAGUCUGGGAUACCACUUGGAAACAGGUGCUAAUACCGGAUAAGAAAGCAGAUCGCAUGAUCAGCUUAUAAAAGACGGCGUAAGCUGUCGCUAUGGGAUGGCCCCGCGGUGCAUUAGCUAGUUGGUAAGGUAACGGCUUACCAAGGCAAUGAUGCAUAGCCGAGUUGAGAGACUGAUCGGCCACAUUGGGACUGAGACACGGCCCAAACUCCUACGGGAGGCAGCAGUAGGGAAUCUUCCACAAUGGACGCAAGUCUGAUGGAGCAACGCCGCGUGAGUGAAGAAGGUUUUCGGAUCGUAAAGCUCUGUUGUUGGUGAAGAAGGAUAGAGGUAGUAACUGGCCUUUAUUUGACGGUAAUCAACCAGAAAGUCACGGCUAACUACGUGCCAGCAGCCGCGGUAAUACGUAGGUGGCAAGCGUUGUCCGGAUUUAUUGGGCGUAAAGCGAGCGCAGGCGGAAGAAUAAGUCUGAUGUGAAAGCCCUCGGCUUAACCGAGGAAUUGCAUCGGAAACUGUUUUUCUUGAGUGCAGAAGAGGAGAGUGGAACUCCAUGUGUAGCGGUGGAAUGCGUAGAUAUAUGGAAGAACACCAGUGGCGAAGGCGGCUCUCUGGUCUGCAACUGACGCUGAGGCUCGAAAGCAUGGGUAGCAAACAGGAUUAGAUACCCUGGUAGUCCAUGCCGUAAACGAUGAGUGCUAAGUGUUGGGGAGGUUUCCGCCUCCUCAGUGCUGCAGCUAACGCAUUAAGCACUUCGACUGGGGAGUACGACUGCAAGGUUGAACUCAAGUAUG